Molecule: non-coding RNA, 24 nt
Filed under: Cricetulus griseus (Chinese hamster)
Lineage: Eukaryota; Metazoa; Chordata; Mammalia; Rodentia; Cricetidae
Source: RNAcentral
ACUCCCUGGAUCAGGAACCACAGU